UGUGUUCUUCAGACCCCCACUGUCGCACACCACUGACGUCAGCAGGAUUGCCUGCUGAGUACCUCCCUCUAUCGUGUUCGGAUCCGGUCUCCGAAAGGUUUAUUUGGUUCUUCGUUCCGUAUUUUUCUGGUUCCACCAAUGCCACUGACUUAAGGCUGAUUUGCACUACUGUGUUGAAUCUACGUACGUGGCCUACGCCAUUGUGAGCAUUUAUACUUGUGCCCUGUGGUGUUUGCGUCGCUCUGCAAUUACACCGCCAAAACUCUGGUUGGCGGUGGGGUUUAUUUGCCACUGUGUCGAGUUUCCUCCUAUACAGUGGCGACUGUAACUAUGUUGGAGUUGAAGCUUCAGACCAGUUCGUUUUACUGAAAUCACUGCAACGCAGAAAAGACAGAAGACGUCGGGGGAGAUUGUGUGUACGACCAUUGAACCGAUCGAGGCAGGAGGACGGUGAAUUUUCUGUGCUUGUCCGGCCACUGAGAGACGUGGAUGAGGAAAUGCAUUUUUAAUAUUUUCGGAUGUCGGCCGGUCGAUUUGACGGAUUUGGCUAGUCGUCUGCAACCAUUUAUUUCGCACAAGUGUAAGCACAAUAUACUCCAUUCGCGUUUUAGCUUCAGGUGGAGACCAACCAGGCGUCAAGCACAGUGUCCCCCAUAGUUUCAGAGGUCUGUAAAGCUUUGUGGAAAGCACUGCAGCCAGAGUUCCUUCCCUGCCCUUCAGUCGCCCAAUGGGAAACUAUUGCAGCUGAUUUUUGGCGACUAUGGAACUUACCGAACUGUGUCGGCAGCGUGGACGGAAAACGCGUGAACAUCAAGGCACCGCCGCAUGCCGGGAGCAACUACUACAACAACAAAGGCACACUCCAUUGUCCUGAUGGCUACCUGCGACGCCAGAUACCGGUUUACCAUGGUGGAUGUAGGGGGAUAUGGACGGGGAAGUGGCGGGGGCAUCUUCUGGAACAGCAAAUUUGGUUCUAUGCUUCUUGUACACAAACUGAACCUGCCCUCCCCAGCCAGUCUUUCUGGUACAGGAGUCAAAAUCCCGCAUGCAAUCGUUGGCGAUGCUACACAACAAUCUCAUGCGUCCCUUUCCAGACUCGGACACUACAGAGUCACUUCAGGCUGGCGAGUGGAGAAGAGUGGUGGCAGGGGACGCAGAUCUUUUGGAACCUUUCGAUCCUCAUUACUUUUCGAGGUGCCCUUCCACCGGAGCUGCAACCGGUGUACGGAAUGACCUGACGGCCUUCUUUCAAUCGCCCCGCGGAACUGUGCCAUGGCAGAACAGCAUUGUGGAGCAAAUAGGCUCCUUGUUGCAGGUUUAUGCACUUGUGAAUCGCGUUGGUUUCAAAGUGUCUGCUAAAUGUCUAAAAUGUAAACAUUUCAGGCUUGUGUAAAUUUGAAAUAAAGGGUUAUACAUUUGAAUAUC
Molecule: long non-coding RNA, 1425 nt
Organism: Conger conger (European conger)
Lineage: Eukaryota; Metazoa; Chordata; Actinopteri; Anguilliformes; Congridae
Exons: 2
Source: RefSeq, a predicted model, not a curated record